CAAGGCGGAUGCAUCCGGAGGGCUGGGGCCACGCCCACCCGCAGAGCAGGCGUGCCGGGUGGGCCAGCCGAGGGCGCACGUGGGACUCCCCCUGCUCUCGCCCGAUGCGUUUCUCCUGCGACCGGCACAUCAGGUCCCUUGGUGGAACAGUUCGAAGGGGAGCGUUCUGAAUUAAAACGUGUGUCUCUUUGGUGAGCCGGAUUAUGGCAAAGGUCAGUGCAGGGGGCACCCUCCUGUGCGCAGGUGUAUGUGGGGUGGGGGCAGGCGGGGGUGCGGCGAGUGCUGCUUUUGCUGUUGAUGGGCUCUCCCCUGCGUUUCCA
RNAcentral lists this long non-coding RNA (320 nucleotides) under Capra hircus (goat). RNAcentral's name for it is "lncRNA (ENSCHIG00000004439.1)". The record is from RNAcentral. Lineage: Eukaryota; Metazoa; Chordata; Mammalia; Artiodactyla; Bovidae.